Molecule: small nucleolar RNA, 133 nt
Filed under: Vicugna pacos (alpaca)
Lineage: Eukaryota; Metazoa; Chordata; Mammalia; Artiodactyla; Camelidae
Source: RNAcentral
UGUCCUCAAUUUCUGUUUAAAAAUAAUCCAUCCAAGUGUAGGUAAUGUGCUACAUGAGAGGUAAGUUUUUUAGUAACACCAGAAGGGUUUCUGGCCCAAUGAGUGGAGUUUGAUAAUAACACUUGCUACAAGU